UCCUUGGUAGUGUAAUGAAUGAAGCACGACAGACCGGAUAUCUGUAAGUGCGAGUUCGAGUCUCGCCUGAGGUU
This 74-nucleotide transfer RNA is filed under the name Dictyocaulus viviparus (bovine lungworm). It matches the Rfam family "tRNA". From Rfam's summary of the family: Transfer RNA (tRNA) molecules are approximately 80 nucleotides in length. Their secondary structure includes four short double-helical elements and three loops (D, anti-codon, and T loops). The record is from Rfam by way of RNAcentral. Lineage: Eukaryota; Metazoa; Nematoda; Chromadorea; Rhabditida; Metastrongylidae.